Molecule: ribosomal RNA, 484 nt
Filed under: uncultured bacterium
Lineage: Bacteria
Description: partial 16S ribosomal RNA
Rfam family: Bacterial small subunit ribosomal RNA
Source: RNAcentral
AUUGAACGCUGGCGGCAGGCCUAACACAUGCAAGUCGAGCGGAUGAAGUUAGCUUGCUCCUGGAUUCAGCGGCGGACGGGUGUGUAAUGCCUAGGAAUCUGCCUGGUAUAGGGUGAUAACGUCCGUAAACGGGCGCUAAUACCGCAUACGUCCUGAGGGAGAAAGUUGGGGAUCUUCGUACCUCACGCUAUCAUAUGAUCUUAGGUCGGAUUAGCUAGUUGGUGGGGUAAAGGCCUACCAAGGCGACGAUCCGUAACUGGUCUGAGAGGAUGAUCAGUCACACGGGAACUGAGACACGGUCCAGACUCGUACGUGAGGCAGCAGUGGGGAAUAUUGGAGAAUGAGCGAAAGCCUGAUCCAGACAAGCCGCGUGUGUGAAGAAGGUCUACGGAUUGUGAAGCACUUUAAGUUGGGAGGAAGUGAAGUAAGGUAAUACCUGGCGGUUUUGACGUAACAAAAAGAAUAAGCACCGGCUAACUUCGUG